Long non-coding RNA from Triticum dicoccoides, 853 nucleotides. RefSeq lists it as uncharacterized. The record is from RefSeq and is a predicted model, not a curated record. The transcript is spliced from 2 exons. Lineage: Eukaryota; Viridiplantae; Streptophyta; Magnoliopsida; Poales; Poaceae.
CGGCCUAGCCCAUUCUUCUCUCCUCCCCCGCUUUCUCCGCUCGCGACGGACCAGAAACACCACUGGCGGCGGUGCAAAGCACGACGCGAGAUGCCGGUGUCCAUGGCGGCUCGGCGGCUCCGCUCGACGGAGUAGCGUGCAACGGAGGGAUCCCGUGUGCUGCUCCAUCGACCGUGGCCACCCGUGCAGCUACACGACGUUUAUUGCGGGAUGCCGGAGGAGAGAGCACUGGUGCCAGGUCGGCCAUAAGUGCCCGCCGGCGGUGACGCGAGGCACUCGGCGUCAUCCAUCAGGCGCCGCUCCAGGCGCCGUAAACCUGCAGCUCGUCCGCCGCUGCGAAUGGCGACGGCACGCCUUCAACGAUGCUGCUGCAGCAUGAGGUACUGACGUUGACGCGCAUGGCGUGGUGGCCAUGCUCGUAGGCGUCCAUGAUUUGUGAGCGGCACGGCAACGUCUCUAAUCUGGAGCGGCAGGAUAGCCCUUGGCUCCACCUCAGCAUCUCCAGCAGUGAGGAGAUCGUCGGGGAGGAAGAGCAGCAGCUGGGCGAUGUAGCAGAUACAAGGGACGCCGCCAGCACGGCCCUGGAGGUGGCUGGCAGUGGUAGUUGGCCUUCACGUACCUCAACACAUCUUUAGGAUCGGGUGUUAGUGGUUAGACCGUAAAAGAACUCUUCCAAAACGAAAACCACUGUUCCUUAUAUAUGGGUGUGUGCUGGGUAUGUGGGACCAAAACCAAGUUGCUUCUGUGUGCCUCCGAUCAUAGCACAAAUCAUGGGGAGUCAACCCCCUUUUCUCUCUCUCAGUUUGUUACAGCUGAGAUCAAUUCCAACAAUGUCAAGAUCAAAUUUAUAGCA